This 492-nucleotide ribosomal RNA is filed under the name uncultured bacterium. RNAcentral describes it as "partial 16S ribosomal RNA". It matches the Rfam family "Bacterial small subunit ribosomal RNA", at positions 29 to 507 of the family's 1533-position model. The record is from RNAcentral.
AGUGAACGCUGGCGGUAGGCCUAACACAUGCAAGUCGAACGGCAGCACAGUAAGAGCUUGCUCUUACGGGUGGCGAGUGGCGGACGGGUGAGGAAUACAUCGGAAUCUACUUUUUCGUGGGGGAUAACGUAGGGAAACUUACGCUAAUACCGCAUACGACCUACGGGUGAAAGCAGGGGAUCUUCGGACCUUGCGCGAUUGAAUGAGCCGAUGUCGGAUUAGCUAGUUGGCGGGGUAAAGGCCCACCAAGGCGACGAUCCGUAGCUGGUCUGAGAGGAUGAUCAGCCACACUGGAACUGAGACACGGUCCAGACUCCUACGGGGAGCAGCAGUGGGGAAUAUUGGACAAUGGGGGCAAGCCUGAUCCAGCCAUACCGCGUGGGUGAAGAAGGCCUUCGGGUUGUAAAGCCCUUUUGUUGGGAAAGAAAAGCAGCAGGUUAAUACCCCGCUGUUCUGACGGUACCCAAAGAAUAAGCACCGGCUAACUUCGUG